UACGUAGGGUGCAAGCGUUAAUCGGAAUUACUGGGCGUAAAGCGUGCGCAGGCGGUUCUAUAAGACAGAUGUGAAAUCCCCGGGCUCAACCUGGGAACUGCAUUUGUGACUGUAGAGCUGGAGUACGGUAGAGGGGGAUGGAAUUCCGCGUGUAGCAGUGAAAUGCGUAGAUAUCAGGAGGAACACCGGCGGUGUAGACGGCUUACUGGACCAUGACUGACGCUGAGGCACGAAAGCGUGGGGAGCAAACAGG
RNAcentral lists this ribosomal RNA (253 nucleotides) under uncultured bacterium. RNAcentral's name for it is "partial 16S ribosomal RNA". It matches the Rfam family "Bacterial small subunit ribosomal RNA", at positions 524 to 776 of the family's 1533-position model. The record is from RNAcentral.